GACGAACGCUGGCGGCGUGCCUAAUACAUGCAAGUAGAACGCUGAAGAGAGGAGCUUGCUCUUCUUGGAUGAGUUGCGAACGGGUGAGUAACGCGUAGGUAACCUGCCUUGUAGCGGGGGAUAACUAUUGGAAACGAUAGCUAAUACCGCAUAACAAUAGGUGACACAUGUCAUUUAUUUGAAAGGGGCAAUUGCUCCACUACAAGAUGGACCUGCGUUGUAUUAGCUAGUAGGUGAGGUAACGGCUCACCUAGGCGACGAUACAUAGCCGACCUGAGAGGGUGAUCGGCCACACUGGGACUGAGACACGGCCCAGACUCCUACGGGAGGCAGCAGUAGGGAAUCUUCGGCAAUGGGGGCAACCCUGACCGAGCAACGCCGCGUGAGUGAAGAAGGUUUUCGGAUCGUAAAGCUCUGUUGUAAGUCAAGAACGAGUGUGAGAGUGGAAAGUUCACACUGUGACGGUAGCUUACCGGAAAGGGACGGCUAACUACGUGC
Molecule: ribosomal RNA, 498 nt
Filed under: uncultured bacterium
Lineage: Bacteria
Description: partial 16S ribosomal RNA
Rfam family: Bacterial small subunit ribosomal RNA
Source: RNAcentral